This 94-nucleotide ribosomal RNA is filed under the name Dermabacter sp. HFH0086. The record is from RNAcentral. Lineage: Bacteria; Bacillati; Actinomycetota; Actinomycetes; Micrococcales; Dermabacteraceae.
UUCGGUGGUCAUAGCGUUGGGGAAACGCCCGGUUCCAUUCCGAACCCGGUAGCUAAGCCUAACUGCGCCGAUGGUACUGCACUCGGGAGGGUGU